CCUACGGGGAGGCAGCAGUGGGGAAUAUUGGACAAUGGGCGAAAGCCUGAUCCAGCAAUGCCGCGUGUGUGAAGAAGGCCUUCGGGUUGUAAAGCACUUUAAGUUGGGAAGAAAAAGCUCUGGCUAAUAUCUAGAGCCUUGACGGUACCAACAGAAUAAGCACCGGCUAACUCUGUGCCAGCAGCCGCGGUAAUACAGAGGGUGCUAGCGUUAAUCGGAUUUACUGGGCGUAAAGCGUGCGUAGGCGGUUUGAUAAGUCGAUUGUGAAAGCCCCGGGCUUAACCUGGGAAUUGCAGUUGAUACUGUCAGACUAGAAAACGGUAGAGGGAGGCGGAACUCCAGGUGUAGCGGUGAAAUGCGUAGAUAUCUGGAAGAACACCGAUGGCGAAGGCAACCUCCUGGGCCUGUUUUGACGCUGAGGCACGAAAGCGUGGGUAGCAAACAGGAUUAGAUACCCUGGUAGUCCACGCCGUAAACGAUGAGAACUUGACGUUGGUUUGCUUAAGCAAAUCGGUGUCGUAGCUAACGCGAUAAGUUCUCCGCCUGGGGNGAGCGCAGUGANANAANAGAGUAGAGNGNGAGAGNGCGAGACGACGACGAGGAGAGG
RNAcentral lists this ribosomal RNA (607 nucleotides) under uncultured bacterium. Its description in RNAcentral is "bacterial SSU rRNA". The stretch from base 1 to 544 matches the Rfam family "Bacterial small subunit ribosomal RNA", at positions 338 to 873 of the family's 1533-position model. The record is from RNAcentral.